This 31-nucleotide non-coding RNA is filed under the name Homo sapiens (human). The record is from RNAcentral. Lineage: Eukaryota; Metazoa; Chordata; Mammalia; Primates; Hominidae.
AGGCAUAGUAGACGCGCCAUCGAUGUUGCUC